RNAcentral lists this ribosomal RNA (253 nucleotides) under uncultured bacterium. Its description in RNAcentral is "partial 16S ribosomal RNA". It matches the Rfam family "Archaeal small subunit ribosomal RNA", at positions 474 to 727 of the family's 1478-position model. The record is from RNAcentral.
UACCAGCACCUCGAGUGGUCAGGACGUUUAUUGGGCCUAAAGCAUCCGUAGCCGGCUUUGCAAGUCUCCGGUUAAAUCCACCUGCUCAACAGAUGGGCUGCUGGAGAUACUACAAAGCUAGGGAGUGGGAGAGGCGGACGGUAUUCAGUGGGUAGGGGUAAAAUCCUCUGAUCCAUCGAGGACCACCAGUGGCGAAGGCGGUCCGCCAGAACACGUUCGACGGUGAGGGAUGAAAGCUGGGGGAGCAAACCGG